UACGUAGGGUGCAAGCGUUAUCCGGAAUUAUUGGGCGUAAAGAGCUCGUAGGCGGUUUGUCGCGUCUGCCGUGAAAGUCCGGGGCUCAACUCCGGAUCUGCGGUGGGUACGGGCAGACUAGAGUGAUGUAGGGGAGACUGGAAUUCCUGGUGUAGCGGUGAAAUGCGCAGAUAUCAGGAGGAACACCGGUGGCGAAGGCGGUUCUCUGGGCAUUACCUGACGCUGAGGAGCGAAAGCGUGGGGAGCGAACAGG
RNAcentral lists this ribosomal RNA (253 nucleotides) under uncultured bacterium. RNAcentral describes it as "partial 16S ribosomal RNA". It matches the Rfam family "Bacterial small subunit ribosomal RNA", at positions 524 to 776 of the family's 1533-position model. The record is from RNAcentral.